This 465-nucleotide ribosomal RNA is filed under the name uncultured bacterium. RNAcentral describes it as "partial 16S ribosomal RNA". It matches the Rfam family "Bacterial small subunit ribosomal RNA", at positions 339 to 795 of the family's 1533-position model. The record is from RNAcentral.
UUACGGGUUGCUCCAGUGGGGAAUAUUGGACAAUGGGGGAAACCCUGAUCCAGCAAUGCCGCGUGUGUGAAGAAGGCCUGCGGGUUGUAAAGCACUUUCGGUUGGGAGGACUGCUUCUAGCACUAAUAUUGUUGGAAGUUGACGUUACCUUCAGAAGAAGCACCGGCUAACUCCGUGCCAGCAGCCGCGGUAAUACGGAGGGUGCAAGCGUUAAUCGGAAUUACUGGGCGUAAAGCGCGCGUAGGCGGCUAGAUCAGUCGGGUGUGAAAGCCCCGGGCUUAACCUGGGAACUGCAUCCGAUACUGUCUAGCUUGAGUACAGGAGAGGAGAGUGGAAUUCCACAUGUAGCGGUGAAAUGCGUAGAUAUGUGGAGGAACACCAAUGGCGAAGGCAGCUCUCUGGCCUGAUACUGACGCUGAGGUGCGAGAGCGUGGGGAGCAAACAGGAUUAGAUACCCCCGUAGUC